CCCUUAGAUGUUCUGGGCCGCACGCGUGCUACACUGGUGAAUACAGCGAGUGUCCAUUCCCUUGACCGAAAGGUCUGGGUAAUCUUAUGAAAGUUCAUCGUGACAGGGAUUGAUCAUUGCAAUUAUUGAUCAUGAACGAGGAGUUCCUAGUAAAGGCGAGUCAUCAUCUCGCUUUGAUUACGUCCCUGCCCUUUGUACACACCGCCCGUCGCUACUACCGAUUGAAUGGUUUAGUGAGAUCUCCGGAUUGGCGGCCUUGGUACCUUCACGGGUCCAACGGUUCUGCCGAGAAGCUGCUCGAACUUGAUCAUUUAGAGGAAGUAAAAGUCGUAACA
RNAcentral lists this ribosomal RNA (335 nucleotides) under uncultured eukaryote. RNAcentral's name for it is "partial 18S ribosomal RNA". It matches the Rfam family "Eukaryotic small subunit ribosomal RNA", at positions 1470 to 1796 of the family's 1831-position model. The record is from RNAcentral.